Solanum stenotomum is the source of this 631-nucleotide long non-coding RNA. RefSeq lists it as uncharacterized. The transcript has 6 exons. NCBI's taxonomy places the organism in Eukaryota, Viridiplantae, Streptophyta, Magnoliopsida, Solanales, Solanaceae. The record is from RefSeq and is a predicted model, not a curated record.
CAACAGAAUUUUCUCCAUAUCCAGCUCCCGAGACCUAUGUUAAGGGUGAAGCAGAAUUUUGAAAGAAUGAAACAACGAUAGUUUGGGUACUGUUCAGUUGUUGUUGAGAUGCGUAUGAAAAUCAAGUUGUUCUAGCAGAAAAGAAGCCUGAAGAAACACAUCGGGAUUUCCUGACUAUUGAUCAAGGACAGGAUAUUAGAGAAGAAGUUCUGACUUAUUUUCAGAACAGUACCAACAAUUCUGAAAAUUCCUAUGGUCGCAGACGGAUGGGCUCGAUCUUAUCAGCUACUGGUUCAGUUUUGCACCCGAAUUCGAAUGAGGGUUCAUAUAAAAUAAAUUAUCUUUUGGGAAGAUUUAUUAUAUUUGAAGAUGGUCAAGUGCAGCAACAUGAAUCAUGGACAAUAUCCUGUGUUGGUUCAUCUUGUCUUGUUAUUACAGAUGAAGUUAAUGGUCGUUUGAUUGCAGCAGAGCCAGUCCAGGUUAUAGUUGGUACUUUUCCUAUGAAUUCAAGUACAUGAAGUGAAAAAUUGAAGAGUUGCAAGCACAUCUAGUUUGCCAGUAAUGUUUCUCCAUCAGCAUUUGUGCUUCAUUUCCAUAAAAAAGAAAUGGAUGACAUGUAGCCUAUAUUUUA